RNAcentral lists this ribosomal RNA (253 nucleotides) under uncultured bacterium. RNAcentral describes it as "partial 16S ribosomal RNA". It matches the Rfam family "Bacterial small subunit ribosomal RNA", at positions 524 to 776 of the family's 1533-position model. The record is from RNAcentral.
AACGUAGGAGACAAACGUUAUCCGGAGUUACUGGGCGUAAAGGGCGUGUAGGUGGUUAUGUAAGUCUGGCGUGAAAUUUUUCGGCUUAACCGGGAAAGGUCGUCGGAUACUGCACAACUAGAGGACGGUAGAGGCGUGUGGAAUUCCGGGUGUAGUGGUGAAAUGCGUAGAGAUCGUAAGGAAGACCAGUGGCGAAGGCGGGUCUCUGGACAGUUCCUGACACUGAGGCACGAAGGCCAGGGGAGCAAACGGG